GUUAAUACUAAUAAUAAUAAUAAUAAUAAUAAAUAAUAAUAAUAUAAUAAUAAUAAUCAGUGUAAUGUAUAUUAGAUGAAUGCAUUCAGGCUCAUUUCAUUUUGAACUUUAACAUAAAUAAAUAAAUAUAAACAUCCACAUAAACAAUAUAAAUACUACAAACUAUAAAAUAAUGAAAAUAGAACAGGCUGUGUGUGUGUGUGUGUGUGUGUGUGUGUGUGUGUGUGUGUGUGUGUGUGUGUGUGUGUGUGAGUGUACAGUCAGGUUCUUCGACUGUAACGUGCAUUACAGAAACUUCCCCAAUGAUCUGAUCACGUGACCACUUUGACAGGGUCGAAGCGCCGCCAUCUUUCGACCUCCAUCUUCUUCCGCCGCACACAGCGCGAACAGACUUUGAACCCCUUUUUCCUGCUCGGUGUACGGGACGGCUUUAUAUAAACAACCCACAGUUUAAAAAAAAGAAGAAAAAAAACAAUAAAAGAGAAGAAAAGAAACGACGCGUUUUCCUCCGCAGUGACUCUGAGUGAAACUCGGCGCUCGGGACGCUCGCGAAUGACUCGGAGACUGACGUUCACACGGCGCUAUUUGUUGCUCCGGCGGAGGGAUACGGUGCUUCAUUCUGCCAGAUCUAGCUUCUUUUUUCCUCCGCUGGAAGCCAUGAUGGAAGUUUGAGAGUUCAGCUGGAGAGAGAGACGCGGAGAGAGAAACGGCGAGAAAGAAGAUGAUUCCCUUCGACAGAUCCGCGGCGUGGACGUGCUCCUGAACCCGGGGCGCUUGGUGUUCGGGCUGUGGCCGAGGUGGAGCUGGUAGAGGGCCGCGUUUGUGUGUCGGAAAUCGCGUCGACCUUUUGAACGGCGGAGAUGAUCGCUCGCUAGGACGGCUUUGGCUUUUUAAAAGGUGGAGGAGACACACACACACACACACACACACACACACACACACACACACACACACAGAGAGAGAGAGAGAGACAGAAAUGGCACUUAGAGACUGAUUGAAAGUGCAUUUGGGAGUGAAAGGGACGCUUUGUGGAUCCUCUUCCCCCACAUGAGAGGCGAUGGAGAGGUUUUCCUGCUCGGCUCGGAGGUAAAUCACGGCGGAUCUGAUGCUCUGCGUUUGGGCUCCUGGAGGAUCGGAGAGCCCUUUUCUCUCCUGGAGGAUUGGGACACUCAGGAUUUCUGCGUUUGUUUUACUCUCCACGAGCAUCCUGAUCAGCUUUAGGACACAUUUAUAAGCCGUGCUAUGUCUGUGUCAGACACUGAGACAGUCUGCUUCAGGCCUGCUGUAGUCUGGACUGGAGCCCUGCUCGGGCCCUUCAAGCUGUAGGACACUCUUACAGAUCAGAUCUCAAGCAUCUCAUUUCUACGCCGAAAUAAUCCUCGUUUUAAUCAGCGCAGCCUGCUAAACGAAGCAGGAAGGAAGGAUUCGGGCCUGUUCGCUGGAGAUCCGGCUCCAUCACAGACACGCCAAGCUUCAGCUGUACUAAUUGUAUAAUAUGUAUAUGUAUCAGUUCUAACGGAACCUUUCGGAUCAGCGUCCCGGUUUGCACGUCCUAAACGACCCGAAUAAUCCCGCUUUUACAAGCUCGAUUUGUUCCAGGUGUAUAAAUCAUUACUCUUCGUUAACAGCUCUCAAUCCGAACUGAACCUUCUGGAGAAAGGAACUCCGUCAGAGAGCCGGUCCGACGGUCUCGUAGACCGGAGUAUCGUACCGGUCCGACGUUCUCGUAGACCGGAGUAUCGUACCGGUCCGACGUUCUCGUAGACCGGAGUAUCGUACCGGUCCGACGUUCUCGUAGACCGGAGUAUCGUACCGGUCCUGCUUUUCGUGGAGGAGUAGAUCCGUGUCUGCCGUCGUCAUCUUCGUCCUCGAGUCCGAAUAAUUCCCGAAGAACCCGAGGAACAUCCGAGAUCGUCCGUUUUGAAAUCUGGUUUUCACCCGGACGCCUUUUUUUUUUUUUUUUUUUUAAAUAAAAAAAAAAUCAUCAUUUUUCUUGUCCCCGGUAUCGCUGGAUUCGGAAAGCUCCACAGGGCCUGGUUUUGACUUUAUCUAAAAAAAAUAAAUAAUCCACAUUUUCACGCCCAGACGAGCAGACGACGACUUUAUGUCUGUAUUAAGCAGAUUUGAGAACUUUUUGGACGCAAGUAUACGCUUAACAUAAUCACCGGACGUUUUGCUGCCGGAUCGGACGCGUUGUACGCACGUGUAGAUAGAUAUAUAUAUAAAUCUGCUCUAAAGCGGUGCAGACGGGGACAACGGACGUCUUUUUCUAUACGCGGUCGUGUUUGUGAGUAAACUGUGGAACUGUGAUGGCGUUCAUCAAGCAGAUCGUGAGCCGAGAAAAGAGACGAUACCAAGAAGAUGGAUUCGAUCUGGACCUGACGUGUAUCCUCGACCUGCAAGCCGGGAUUUUUAUUGUAUUGUUAUUUUUGAUCAUGUUCUUUUGGUUAAAAAUGAGUAACCCGUGGGUGGAGUAGGACGGCGUCACCGUCACAGAGUGGGGUGAAGGCUACGUUAACCUUCUUGUAUUCUGAUUGAGAGCUGGGUGGUGGUGGUGGUGGUGGUUGUUGUUUUAAAGAAAAGAAAUGCUUUUGUUUGAUCCACACCGAUCACGUAGGAGGUUUUCGGAUCACGUUAAGAACAAGAGCGAGUUUGGGGCGGAAUCGCGGGUUUAUGAUUGGUCAAGUGAUUUCGAGGAUAAUGGGCGUAAUGUUGUAAUGAAGUUUGUUCAGUCGAAGAGUCUAAAAUGCAAGCGUUGUCCGAAAAUCCAUCCAAAAUCUAAGCGCUGUCCAAAAUCCAAUCAUUGUCCAAAAUCUAAUGCUGUCCAAAAAUAAGUCCAAAAUCUAAGUGCUGUCCAAAAUCCAAUCGUCCAAAAAUACGUCCAAGAUCCAAUCACUGUCCAAAAAUACAUCCAAAAUCCAAUCAUUGUCCAAAAUCUAAUCGUUGUCCAAAAUCUAAUCAUUAUCCAAAAAUAAGUCCAAAAUCUAAGGGCUUUCCAAAAUCCAAUCAUUGUCCGAAAUCUAAGGGCUUUCCAAAAAUACGUCCAAAAUCCAAUCAUUGUCCAAAAUCUAAUCGUUGUCCAAAAUCUAAUCAUUAUCCAAAAAUAAGUCCAAAAUCUAAGUGCUGUCCAAAAAUACGUCCAAAAUCCAAUCACUGUCCAAAAAUACGUCCAAAAGCCAAUCAUUGUCCAAAAUCUAAUCAUUGUCCAAAUAAGUCCAAAAUCUAAGUGCUGUCCAAAAUCCAAUCGUUGUCCAAAAUCUAAAGGCUUUUCAAAAAUACGUCCAAAAUCCAAUCACUGUCCAAAAUCUAAGCGUUGUCCAAAAAUAUGUCCAAAAUUGGUGUUGUCCAAAAUCCAGUCAUUGUCCAAUUGUUCUUAAGAGCAAGUCCAAAAAUAGUCAAUACAGAUUAGACACGAAGUGAAAAUGCGUGUAAAGCCCGUAUUCGGAGGGCGGGAUUAGUUUCUCGAGUGUAACGUUGUUAUUCCCGGAGGAUCUCGAUGAUGUGUAUUGUUUCCGAUGUCCUCUCUGACCUCGCCUCCUCCGGGAGAGAACUCUGCGGGGUCGGUUUUAGCGCUAAAGCCUUUUGGGGGUUUGGGUUGUGAUUUAGAAUGUUCAGCCGCUGAUGCUCCAGUAACAGUUUAUUUCGAUAGAAGGGUGUGUCUGUGGGCUUUUCCACACCAGACUGGGGAAAUAACCUGCGUGCAGUCGAUCAGCGGACACUCGACCGUAUCGUUUCUGCACGUUCGCUCGGUUUGUGUGUUUGCGGUUGGAACCGUGACGUGUGUUCAUGCAGUUCCACUUCUGAGUUGAUUUUCAUUUUUAAAAAGUGCAUUUUCUCACCUCGCCAGCAUCUGAUGCUUUGGUUGCCAUCGUUACGCGUGAACUCCGUCCGGAACAGAGUGGUGUUUAUGAUCCGAAAGAUGUUUUUGAGAGCCAUGAAAUCUCCCGUCGGGCUUCAUUCGUCCCUUUGUUGUUGUGUGUAAAUGUUCGCGUAAGGCAAACGGAACAAAAAUCUUCCGCCGGAUUUCGAAAAGUUUCUAAACGCGUUCCUGAUGCGGCUCGUUUGCAUGUAGCGACGCCCACAAACCUCCAUAAAAGGUCAUGCGCGCGCACAGCUGGAAGCACGGAAUGAGAGAUCAGGGUGAAGGCUGGGAGGCGGAACUGGAAGUCGCUUCUACGCCACCGAGGCGUCUGUUGACAGCUCUGCGCAGCGUUACUACCUCACGUGACCUCGUAACCACGUCGUGUUGCACGUCUGAACGGAUAUUCGAACGAGCUAGUUCAUAUUAAAUGCGGAAAUACUGAGGGAAACUAAACCGAGAGGGAAAUGACGCCUCUCUUUAUUUGCUCUGUCCCAGGAGUGAUGCUCAGUGGACGUCGUGACGGUUUAAUGAUUAGAUUCGAUCGGAUUAGAUCAGACGGAGUGCGUGUUGGAAUUUCUGUGCCGUUUUAGUUUAGUUCAGUUUGAUCUAGUUGAUGUGAACACCGCACCUGUACUCGGGUGCGCACCAAAAAACCAUUCCCAGGGUCUCGGUGCUCGUCUGUGUGACGCGGUCACCGGUGGGAGGAGUUUCACCAUGACGCCGUGAAAGUGACCGUUUUUAUCGUCAUGACGAUGUAAAUCCCGCUUUGUUUGUUUGUUUGUUUGUUUGUUUGUUUGCUAUGCACAAGGUGGGAUGAAUCGGGUCCAAAAUUUCUCCAAGACCCAAACCUUUGGGUCCGAACCCAAACCUGUCGUUCCGUCUCUUUCAUUCUUUUCUUCUUGCUUUCUGCACGUUUCGGUGUCUCUCUCUUUCCAUUCCGUUUCCCUCCCUUUUCUGUCUCCGUUUCCUUUCUGCGUCUGUUUUAUUUCCUUUUUCUUUCAUUUUUCCUUUCUUCUUUCCGUUUCCUUUUUCCUUUUCUGUUUCGCGACUUUUUCUUCCCGUCUUUCGUUCUCUUUCGAUCCUUUCGUUUUUUUCUUUCUUUAAUUUAUUUUUCAUUUCUGCGUCCAUCUACCCUCUUUCUUUCUGUAUCCCAUUUUCAUUUUUCUUUGUGCACCUGUCUGUCUGUCCUUUUUCUUUUUUCUUUCUGUCUUUUACUUUCUGCACCCGACCGUCCGCUUGCUCUCUUCGCCUUUCUGUCUUCGUCCGUCUUUCUUUUUCCCUUCUUUUGCAUGUGAUUUUCCUUCCUGUGACUUUUCUUUCUUUCCGUUUCUCUUUCUUUUCUUUCUUUGCUUCAUUUUUGCAGAAGGAAGUGGAUAUAUCAUUUUUACUCCUCCCCCUCCCCCUCCCUCCCUCCCUCUCCUGCACCUGUACGUCUCCAGCGGUCGGAAUGUUGGAGGCGGGCGUCGGCGUGCGAGUGAAGUUUCUCAUCGUUCAGAUCUCGGUGACGUCAUUAUUCAUCUUCACAGUCGGUUCAAGUUAGGAGGGAGGCAUUUAGGCUCCGCCCCCAAACUCCACCUACGGCUCAGUAGAUGGUAACCUGUCCGUGAUGAAGCAGGCGUGGUGUCCCGCAGCACCAGCGCACUGGUUAUUAUAGACUGGUGAGAGUUGUGGCAGUAAUUGAGUGUUGGAGGAGGUGGAGCCGGAGUGUUAAUAGCUCUGUGUGUGUGUGUGUGUGUGUGUGUGUGUGUGUGUGUGUGUUCGUGACAGCACCUGGCCUUCACUGUUACAGUUUUUAGGGAACUAAACCAAACCCCAGCUGUCCAUUUACCACCAAACCACAGAGUAACCGUCUCUGCAGUGACACACACGUACAAAUACACUCCAGCGGGGAGGGGGGCGGGGGUGUGUGUGUGUGUGUGUGUGUGUGUGUGUGUGGAUUAAUGAUGAGUGUGUAUUCGGUGUUGUGUAAGAGGUGUGAAAUGGGAUUGGA
Long non-coding RNA from Ictalurus punctatus (channel catfish), 5852 nucleotides. The record is from Ensembl. Lineage: Eukaryota; Metazoa; Chordata; Actinopteri; Siluriformes; Ictaluridae.